UGAGAUAAAUGCAUGCUGCGUAUGCAGAC
This 29-nucleotide small RNA is filed under the name Bombyx mori (domestic silkworm). RNAcentral describes it as "ovarian small RNA-32165". The record is from RNAcentral. Lineage: Eukaryota; Metazoa; Arthropoda; Insecta; Lepidoptera; Bombycidae.